This 692-nucleotide long non-coding RNA is filed under the name Olea europaea subsp. europaea. The record is from RNAcentral. Lineage: Eukaryota; Viridiplantae; Streptophyta; Magnoliopsida; Lamiales; Oleaceae.
UAGCCUCAUUUGAAGUUCAUUUCCUCUUCUCCAAUCUCCACUCUUUGACAAAUUACACGAGAUCUCGACAAACCACAAAACAGUUUCAAACCUAACGCUCGACUCGCAGGUUGUAUGUUCAGAUUCUUCAUAAUACUUUGAUUAAUAUGUAUGGUUCUUGUAAGAAGGUUGUUUAUGCGUAUAAGGUGUUCUAUAAAAUGUCAUUUAAAACGGUUGUUUCUUGGAAUUCGAUUAUUUCAGCUUAUGUAGAGAGCUCAAAGUUUUUCUAUUCAAUUGAGGUUUUUGUCAAGAUGCUAGAUAGAGGAUAGUGAUUUUGAGCAGGAUGAAACAACGGUGGUGAUUGUACUUUCCGUUUGUGUAGAGCUUGGUAACUUGAGUAUGUGAAAAUGGGUGGGUCACUGGGUCCAUUCUCAUGUUAUUGAGAAAGGUAUGGUUUUGAAUUGUCAAUUGGGUACUGCCCUUGUUGAUAUGUAUGGAAAAGUACGGUUUUGAAUUAUCAAUCACAAUAAAUUUGUUGAUUAACAAUGCUGUAAAAUGAGAUUUUGUUAAUUGUUACUAUCGAAAUUCCAAGUUUCUUAUUUACUACCAACUUUGAGUAAUUGAUUUAUUAUAUUGAAGUCAUGAUAGUUAUUUGGAAGCAUGAAGGAAAGAGGAAAUAAAAACUAGUUAAAUGAAAGAAGGAUAGGAAGUAC